Molecule: ribosomal RNA, 253 nt
Filed under: uncultured bacterium
Lineage: Bacteria
Description: partial 16S ribosomal RNA
Rfam family: Bacterial small subunit ribosomal RNA
Source: RNAcentral
UACGGGGGGGGCAAGCGUUGUUCGGAAUUACUGGGCGUAAAGGGCUCGUAGGCGGCCAACUAAGUCAGACGUGAAAUCCCUCGGCUUAACCGGGGAACUGCGUCUGAUACUGGAUGGCUUGAGUUUGGGAGAGGGAUGCGGAAUUCCAGGUGUAGCGGUGAAAUGCGUAGAUAUCUGGAGGAACACCGGUGGCGAAGGCGGCAUCCUGGACCGAGAUUGACGCUGAGGCGCGAAAGCCAGGGGAGCAAACGGG